UACGUAGGGUGCAAGCGUUGUCCGGAAUUAUUGGGCGUAAAGAGCUCGUAGGCGGUUUGUUGCGUCGGCUGUGAAAUCCCGAGGCUCAACCUCGGGUCUGCAGUCGAUACGAGCAAACUAGAGUGUUGCAGGGGAGACUGGAAUUCCUGGUGUAGCGGUGAAGUGCGCAGAUAUCAGGAGGAACACCGGUGGCGAAGGCGGGUCUCUGGGCAACAACUGACGCUGAGGAGCGAAAGCCAGGGGAGCAAACGGG
This 253-nucleotide ribosomal RNA is filed under the name uncultured bacterium. RNAcentral's name for it is "partial 16S ribosomal RNA". It matches the Rfam family "Bacterial small subunit ribosomal RNA", at positions 524 to 776 of the family's 1533-position model. The record is from RNAcentral.